This 1470-nucleotide long non-coding RNA is filed under the name Homo sapiens (human). Its description in RNAcentral is "non-protein coding lnc-CCDC6-4:1". The record is from RNAcentral. Lineage: Eukaryota; Metazoa; Chordata; Mammalia; Primates; Hominidae.
ACAGAACUGGCAAGGGAACUGAAUUUUUCAGUGGAUGAAAUCAAUCAAAUACGUGUGGAAAAUCCAAAUUCUUUAAUUUCUCAGAGCUUCAUGUUAUUAAAAAAAUGGGUUACCAGAGACGGAAAAAAUGCCACAACUGAUGCCUUAACUUCGGUCUUGACAAAAAUUAAUCGAAUAGAUAUAGUGACACUGCUAGAAGGACCAAUAUUUGAUUAUGGAAAUAUUUCAGGCACCAGAAGUUUUGCAGAUGAGAACAAUGUUUUCCAUGACCCUGUUGAUGGUAAUCGAAUUUAGUGUUCAUAUUUAUUUAAUCAUUUGAUAAAAUUUGAAAGUGCAGUCAGACAAGGCAGUCACUUAAAAGCAACUAAACUGUGAUUUGCUUGACUUAGUUUCUCAUUUUCUCUGCCAGAGUCUGCAAAUAAACACUCUGAUAUCAGAGCAAACUUGGUAAAUACCUCUGUUUAUAUACAAUAUAAAUAUACAAUAUAAAUCAUGACGUAUGAACGCCUAAGGUAUCUGAAAGAGUUGGUAUUUCUAAUAUUUCAUAAAAGUUAAAUAUCUAGAGAAUGCAUUGCUUUUGUCACUUUUAAUUUUUAUAUUAACCCUCCUAAACUAGUUACCUCUUUUAUUCGUAUAUAGGUAAAACAAACGAUGAGCCAUUUUUAUCAAAUAAGCAAGGUAUUGAGUAAAGUGUAAGCAUAUAGUAUACAAAUUGUAAGGUAAAAUGGCAAUUUACUGUGUGGCACCAGGUAUUUAAAUGUGCACUGAAAAAAUUUAAUGUAUCAUUCAAGUAUGUGCUUUAGUUAUUUAGCGUUCGUUGUUAUUUUAACUUCAUGAAUAUGCUGCCAUUUAUUCUUUGGAAAAACUGCUUGAUCUAUUGUAUAUCAAAGGCAGCAUAAUUUCUAAUUCAGUCGGCAUACAUGUUACUAACAACAAUUCCUCUUUCACAUUAGCUUAAUUUAUAUAAUGAUCUUGUCAUUUUUUCCUCAUUAUGUAAAUUGUGCUUUCUUCACUGAAAUAUUAAGAAAAACAUAAUAAAUAUCUUCCUAUGUUUUUCAAAAUAGUCCUGUCUUAGGCUCACAAAUGAAAAUUUAUUCCUACAAUGAAUUUUUGUUCUGUUUUUGAGACGAAGUCUCGCUCUGUCGCCUAAGCUGGAGUGCAAUGGCACGAUCUCGGCUCACUGCAACCUCUGCCUCCUGGGUUCAAGCCAUUCUCCUGUCUCAGCCUCCUGAGUAGCUGGGAUUACAGGCAUGCACCACCGUGCCCAGCAAAUUUUUUGUAUUUUUAGUAAAGAUGGGGGUUUCACCACGUUGGCCAGGCUGGUCUCGAACUCUUGACCUCAAGUGAUCCACCCACCUCUGCCUCCCAAAGUGCUGGAAUUACAGGCAUGAGCCACCCCACCCAGCCUCUAUAAUGAAUUUUGAGUAGAAAAUUUGAUGAUGGUGUGGAGGCAGGAAUAAGAACUAAGGA